UGGUUUGUCGCGUCGUCUGUGAAAUCCCGGGGCUUAACUUCGGGCGUGCAGGCGAUACGGGCAUAACUUGAGUGCUGUAGGGGAGACUGGAAUUCCUGGUGUAGCGGUGAAAUGCGCAGAUAUCAGGAGGAACACCAAUGGCGAAGGCAGGUCUCUGGGCAGUAACUGACGCUGAGGAGCGAAAGCAUGGGUAGCGAACAGGAUUAGAUACCCUGGUAGUCCAUGCCGUAAACGGUGGGCGCUAGGUGUAGGGGACUUCCACGUCUUCUGUGCCGCAGCUAACGCAUUAAGCGCCCCGCCUGGGGAGUACGGCCGCAAGGCUAAAACUCAAAGGAAUUGACGGGGGCCCGCACAAGCGGCGGAGCAUGUGGAUUAAUUCGAUGCAACGCGAAGAACCUUACCUGGGCUUGACAUACACCAGAUCGCUGCAGAGAUGUAGCUUCCCUUGUGGCUGGUGUACAGGUGGUGCAUGGUUGUCGUCAGCUCGUGUCGUGAGAUGUUGGGUUAAGUCCCGCAACGAGCGCAACCCUUGUCUUAUGUUGCCAUCACGUGAUGGUGGGCACUCAUGAGAGACUGCCGGGGUUAACUCGGAGGAAGGUGGGGAUGACGUCAAAUCAUCAUGCCCCUUAUGUCCAGGGCUUCACACAUGCUACAAUGGUCGGUACAGCGAGUUGCCACACCGUGAGGUGGAGCUAAUCUCUCAAGGCCGGCCUCAGUUCGGAUUGGGGUCUGCAACUCGACCCCAUGAAGUCGGAGUCGCUAGUAAUCG
Molecule: ribosomal RNA, 769 nt
Filed under: uncultured bacterium
Lineage: Bacteria
Description: bacterial SSU rRNA
Rfam family: Bacterial small subunit ribosomal RNA
Source: RNAcentral